This 831-nucleotide ribosomal RNA is filed under the name uncultured Algibacter sp. Its description in RNAcentral is "bacterial SSU rRNA". It matches the Rfam family "Bacterial small subunit ribosomal RNA", at positions 29 to 862 of the family's 1533-position model. The record is from RNAcentral. Lineage: Bacteria; Pseudomonadati; Bacteroidota; Flavobacteriia; Flavobacteriales; Flavobacteriaceae.
AUGAACGCUAGCGGCAGGCCUAACACAUGCAAGUCGAGGGGUAACAUUGGUGCUUGCACCAGAUGACGACCGGCGCACGGGUGCGUAACGCGUAUACAAUCUACCUUUUGCUAAGGGAUAGCCCAGAGAAAUUUGGAUUAAUACCUUAUAGUAUGCAGACUUCUCAUGGAGAUUGCAUUAAAGAUUACGGCAAAAGAUGAGUAUGCGUCCUAUUAGUUUGUUGGUGUGGUAACGGCACACCAAGACUACGAUAGGUAGGGGCCCUGAGAGGGGGAUCCCCCACACUGGUACUGAGACACGGACCAGACUCCUACGGGAGGCAGCAGUGAGGAAUAUUGGACAAUGGAGGCAACUCUGAUCCAGCCAUGCCGCGUGCAGGAAGACUGCCCUAUGGGUUGUAAACUGCUUUUAUACAGGAAGAAACACUCCCUCGUGAGGGAGCUUGACGGUACUGUAAGAAUAAGGAUCGGCUAACUCCGUGCCAGCAGCCGCGGUAAUACGGAGGAUCCAAGCGUUAUCCGGAAUCAUUGGGUUUAAAGGGUCCGUAGGUGGAUAAUUAAGUCAGAGGUGAAAGUUUGCAGCUCAACUGUAAAAUUGCCUUUGAUACUGGUUAUCUUGAGUUAUUGUGAAGUAGUUAGAAUAUGUAGUGUAGCGGUGAAAUGCAUAGAUAUUACAUAGAAUACCAAUUGCGAAGGCAGAUUACUAACAAUAUACUGACACUGAUGGACGAAAGCGUGGGUAGCGAACAGGAUUAGAUACCCUGGUAGUCCACGCCGUAAACGAUGGAUACUAGCUGUUGGGCUUCGGCUCAGUGGCUAAGCGAAAGUGAUA